GGUAAAGUUUCAGGUUUUCAGUAUAAGGAUUAAAAUUUGAAUUUCAAUUGGUUCAGGAUUGGGGUAAGGGAGUUAAUUUAAGAAGGGAAAGCUACCCCAGUUGUGUAGCUCACUAGUGUACCAGAAAAACUUUUUUGCUCUUUUCAUACUUAACAAAGAACAAAGCAAUGUCGCAACUAUGAUUAGCUUUGGUUUAGUUGAUUUUCUGUAAUUAUUGUGAUUGAGAUUGAUUGUAAAAGGGACAAGUUUCUGAAAAAUAGUUGAUGCAUCUGUAAUUAUUUUGGUGAAAACAGAAAAUCAAAAGAGGAGAAGAAAAGGUUGGCUUCACAUCUGUAGAUUUAGGCACCAUUGUUGUGUUACCU
Molecule: unclassified non-coding RNA, 362 nt
Filed under: Hevea brasiliensis (rubber tree)
Lineage: Eukaryota; Viridiplantae; Streptophyta; Magnoliopsida; Malpighiales; Euphorbiaceae
Source: RNAcentral